CAUUACUGAAGAAAAGGGAUUUUUGAGACUGCGUCCUCAGYGGNGUGUGCUCGAAUCCUGACCUCUUUCAUCCAUAUACACCUGCNNACUUUGGGACGUCAAAGUCCCCUUUUUAACAUAAACACCGAGUUAUAUGCAUGUAUUUCUAUACUCUAUGGAGUAAAAACAACUUUCAACAACGGAUCUCUUGGCUUUCGCAUCGAUGAAGAACGCAGCGAACGUGCGAAACGUAAUGUGAAUUGCAGAAUUCAGUGAAUCAUCGAAUCUUUGAACGCAUCUUGCGCUCCUUGGCAUUCCGAGGAGCAUGCCUGUUUGAGUGUCGUGAAAUACUCUCAAUUUCAACUUUUGAAAUUGGAUUUGGUUGUUGUCGUGGAUGUUUCACGACUCAUCCUAAAUGCAUUAGCGAUCUGCCUUUGAUCACACGCAAUGUGAUAAUUUACAAGCAUUGUGAAAGAUUGAAGUGUGAGGAUAGCUUCUAACUGUCUACGGACAACGCAUAUAUGUCAUUUGACCUCAGAUCAGGUAGGACUACCCGCUGAACUUAAGCAUAUCAAUA
This 556-nucleotide ribosomal RNA is filed under the name Geastrum saccatum. RNAcentral's name for it is "eukaryotic LSU rRNA". The record is from RNAcentral. Lineage: Eukaryota; Fungi; Basidiomycota; Agaricomycetes; Geastrales; Geastraceae.